AUUCUCUUCUUGUCACAAGAGGUUUUCAAAAGGAGAAGUUCUGACAGUGCUCACAUAAUCAACAGGAAAGUGAGAUGAACAAUACCGUUUAAAGUUACGACAAGGUAUUCUCAUUCCCAUUUUCAGGUACAAUGGAGACCCAAAAACCAACGUUUAGUAAUAAGCCUAAGCCUGAGUGCUGGGGUGACGGUAGCUCGACCUGACCAGUUAGCAUUACAAGAGCGUCAAGCUCAUUAACUUGUUAGAACAUUUGUUUCCAUUAUUAGUAUAUAAAUCAACUUUCAAUCCCCCAACAUAAGCAGAAUUGAUCUCAAACUAUAAAUAUUAUUUCCACAUUAUAUGCCAAAAAAGGAAACUGAUUUAUUCAACGGUAAUAUGUAAGUGAUAAAUGCGCUUCUGCGGCUAUGGACAACACAUAUAAAUAAAUUUUUUUGAAGGAAAAAUAUGCGAGCAAUGAUCAAUAACUAAAGAAAUGGGAAAAGACAAAACGAGAAAUGAUUCUUAAAAUAUGAGCAAAAAUCAAUGAACUACAACCAGAAAGUUACCUUUAUAUGUUCCUGUUAUAUUCCAAGAAGAAAAUGGGCCCAAUUCAUGCUCUUCCUUGCUUUCAGGAAGCCACUGCAAGAAGCGAAGGGAUAGAAAACAAGGCAUUAAAAUGAAAUAGGACAAAAGCGAAGCCCAGAGGAGGAAGCUGUGAGCAAUAAAUCUCAAAGACCUAUAAAAAUGAAAUGUCUUUACAUAUACCCAUUAUUUCAAAUAAAAUAUCAAUAAAUUGUGUAAGCGGUCUUAUAGAACAAAACAAAGCAGAAGACUCGAAAUUUUGCAAAUGUUUGAAUUAGAUUUAUUUGAAAGAAGACAGCAAAGAUCCAAAAUUAGGUAAGAAUUUCACUGCAACAAUAAUUAAUUCAAUUCAACAAAACAACUUGCCUUCUACGGAUAAUGUACAGAUCAAAACCUCUAAACCCUAUACAUAAAUGUCUGUUUUUCUUCCUUAAUUAAUUUGUAUAAAGCAAUGUCACCAAUUU
Molecule: long non-coding RNA, 1025 nt
Filed under: Olea europaea (common olive)
Lineage: Eukaryota; Viridiplantae; Streptophyta; Magnoliopsida; Lamiales; Oleaceae
Description: long non-coding RNA (OEUR_LNC013781)
Source: RNAcentral